This 399-nucleotide ribosomal RNA is filed under the name uncultured bacterium. Its description in RNAcentral is "bacterial SSU rRNA". It matches the Rfam family "Bacterial small subunit ribosomal RNA", at positions 29 to 417 of the family's 1533-position model. The record is from RNAcentral.
AGCGAACGUUAGCGGCGGGCCUAACACAUGCAAGUCGAACGGGCUGUAGCAAUACAGUCAGUGGCGCACGGGUGCGUAACGCGUAGAUAAGUCUACCUCUCAGUGGGGGGAUAACUAGGGGAAACUCUAGCUAAUACCGCAUAAGACCACGGAGUCUUCGGGGCUUUGAGGGAAAAGGCGGCCUCUGAAUAUGCUGUCGCUGGGAGAUGAGUCUGCGUCCCAUCAGCUAGUUGGUGAGGUAAUGGCUCACCAAGGCAAAGACGGGUAGCUGGUCUGAGAGGAUGAUCAGCCACACUGGCACUGGAACACGGGCCAGACUCCUACGGGAGGCAGCAGUGGGGAAUAUUGGGCAAUGGGCGGAAGCCUGACCCAGCCACGCCGCGUGAGUGAAGAAGGCCU